RNAcentral lists this unclassified non-coding RNA (318 nucleotides) under Hevea brasiliensis (rubber tree). The record is from RNAcentral. Lineage: Eukaryota; Viridiplantae; Streptophyta; Magnoliopsida; Malpighiales; Euphorbiaceae.
GGGGAACUAUGGCAACUCAUAAAUUGCCACCAAAAACAGUGGUACAGAUGUUAAAGGAUAAUGGUAUUGGGAAAGUAAAGUUGUUUGAUGCAGAUCAAUCUACUAUGAGUGCUCUUGCUGGUAGUGAUCUUGAAGUUAUGGUUGCUAUUCCAAAUGAUCAGCUUUCUGCUAUGAAUGAUUAUGAUAGAGCUAAAGAUUGGGUUAAACGUAAUGUCACGCGUUAUAACUUCAAAGGAGGUGUCAAUAUUAAAUAUGUUGCAGUUGGCAAUGAGCCUUUCCUGACAUCCUACAACAAUUCCUUUCUUAACACGACUUUCC